This 496-nucleotide ribosomal RNA is filed under the name uncultured bacterium. RNAcentral's name for it is "partial 16S ribosomal RNA". It matches the Rfam family "Bacterial small subunit ribosomal RNA", at positions 28 to 506 of the family's 1533-position model. The record is from RNAcentral.
GAUGAACGCUGGCGGCGUGCCUAAUACAUGCAAGUCGAGCGAACAGACGAGGAGCUUGCUCCUCUGACGUUAGCGGCGGACGGGUGAGUAACACGUGGAUAACCUACCUAUAAGACUGGGAUAACUUCGGGAAACCGGAGCUAAUACCGGAUAAUAUAUUGAACCGCAUGGUUCAAUAGUGAAAGACGGUUUUGCUGUCACUUAUAGAUGGAUCCGCGCCGCAUUAGCUAGUUGGUAAGGUAACGGCUUACCAAGGCGACGAUGCGUAGCCGACCUGAGAGGGUGAUCGGCCACACGGGAACUGAGACACGGUCCAGACUCCUAGGGGAGGCAGCAGUAGGGAAUCUUCCGCAAGGGGCGAAAGCCUGACGGAGCAACGCCGCGUGAGUGAUGAAGGUCUUCGGAUCGUAAAACUCUGUUAUUAGGGAAGAACAAAUGUGUAAGUAACUAUGCACGUCUUGACGGUACCUAAGCAGAAAGCCACGGCUAACUACGU